This 290-nucleotide long non-coding RNA is filed under the name Physcomitrium patens. RNAcentral describes it as "long non-coding RNA (PPAT_LNC007498)". Lineage: Eukaryota; Viridiplantae; Streptophyta; Bryopsida; Funariales; Funariaceae. The record is from RNAcentral.
UUGGGAGCUAUUGCCACUCUUUUUGAUAUAAUGCACUCGUACAAAAGGCAAUUGAGGAUCGGCAACUGCGAUUGGAGAGAGCACUUUUGCGGCUACUCUUUUUGCACACUGCUUACUAGAUUCCAAGUUGGAAUGAAGGAGUUAUUGGAUUUUGAAGUCAGUACAUGCAAUCUAAGGGUAAUAGGUGACCCAAUUUACUAGUGGUUGUGUCUUGAGCUAUAUCUUGAGUAAUUUGACAAGGUUUUGGCUCAAAAUAUCAAGGAAUGUGUAAAUUCAUGUCAAUAAUCUUU